CGCGUGAGAUGAAGAAGGCCUUGCGGGUUGUAAAGCACUUUCGCAAGGGAAGAAAACUUACACGAAUAACACUGUGUGAGGCUGACGGUACCUUGAUAAGAAGCACCGGCUAACUACGUGCCAGCAGCCGCGGUAAUACGAUAGGGUGCGAGCGUUAAUCGGAAUUACUGGGCGUAAAGCGUGCGCAGGCGGUUUUGUAAGUCAGAUGUGAAAUCCCCGAGCUCAACUAGGGAACUGCGUUUGAAACUACAAGACUAGAAUAUGUCAGAGGGGGGUAGAAUUCCACGUGUAGCAGUGAAAUGCGUAGUAGAUGUGGAGGAAUACCAAUGGCGAGAGGCAGCCCCCUGGGAAUAAUAUGAACGCUCAUGCACGAAAGCGUGGGGAGCAAACAGGAUUAGAUACCCUGGUAGUCCACGCCCUAAACGAUGUCUACUAGUUGUUGGUGGAGUAAAAUCCAUGAGUAACGCAGCUAACGCGUGAAGUAGACCGCCUGGGGAGUACGGUCGCAAGAUUAAAAACUCAAAGGA
RNAcentral lists this ribosomal RNA (527 nucleotides) under Methylophilus sp. VMB6. RNAcentral's name for it is "bacterial SSU rRNA". It matches the Rfam family "Bacterial small subunit ribosomal RNA", at positions 398 to 908 of the family's 1533-position model. The record is from RNAcentral. Lineage: Bacteria; Pseudomonadati; Pseudomonadota; Betaproteobacteria; Nitrosomonadales; Methylophilaceae.